RNAcentral lists this ribosomal RNA (247 nucleotides) under uncultured bacterium. RNAcentral's name for it is "partial 16S ribosomal RNA". It matches the Rfam family "Bacterial small subunit ribosomal RNA", at positions 523 to 769 of the family's 1533-position model. The record is from RNAcentral.
AGACGUAGGGGGCAAGCGUUGUCCGGAAUUACUGGGCGUAAAGGGUGCGUAGGCGGCAAUGCAAGUCUAAUGUGAAAUCCCCGUGCUUAACAUGGGGAUUGCAAUAGAAACUGUAUAGCUAGAGUGCAGGAGAGGUAAGUGGAAUUCCUAGUGUAGCGGUGAAAUGCAUAGAUAUUCGGAGGAACACCAGUGGCGAAGGCGGCUUACUGGUCCAUUACUGACGCUGAGGUGCGAAAGCGUGGGGAGC